GGAAGAUUGGCAACAAUUGUUAGCUCAGGGCCAAUCUUUCUCACAAAAAGAAAAAAAAGCACCAAAGAAGCCCCUCAAAAAAUGUGGUUGUCUGGUUUCUUGUCUAGUUGAAGACUAAAAUUUUGGCAUACACCUGAGAUUAUUUUUCUGAAUGUCUUGGUGCUAUACAUGGGAGGUGUAUUAUUUUUAUUUAAGAAACUCAGUGAAAGAGCCUCCUGCAGUUCAGCCAGUGUUCCAAGUCCUUUAUGAAUAUUAACUCAGUUCACCAUCCUGGCAACCCUUACGGUAGGAACUAGUGUAAUGCCCCAUUUCGAUGAGGAAGUUAAGUAGCUUACCCUGGGCCAGACAGCUAAGUGGCAGAAUCGGGAUUCAGAAUUACUCUGGAGUCCACAUGCCAGUUCGGAAAGGACUGGCAGCCACAUCUGAGUAGGUUUCCUUUACUGAUUUGAAGUCAAGGGCACAGAAAAGAUUACUCAACCCUUGGUACCCUGGUUCCAAGACAUCCAGGGACCUGGAGUCUCAGCUUCCGGUUAUCACUCUGCGUAUCCAAGAGUCAGGGUCACGUCUUACCUGCCCUCCUCCUUGGGCCAUGUCUGCGGAGCCCCCAAACAGCGGGCAAUAAUGGGAAAGCUGGCAUCAAGCAGCAGCCGUUCUCUUUACGGGACACAGAAAUGACCCCUUGUUAUCUUUGACUCCACGGCUGCUGUAAUAUUAUUCGGUUAGCCCUAGUUACAGACUGGUUUUUGUGGUGUGUGAGGAAAGCUACACGGCUUCUCAGCAUUAGCUCUUGACCUGGCAAAAGGAGAAGGAUUGUAUUGUACUUUGAGCUGAUGGAGGGCUGGGGUACCACGUCUAAUUGUUAUUGAUGUCCCUACACCAUUUCAGGUACUGGUGAGAGGCACAAAGCCUCCAGACACUGAAGCAAGAUGGUGCUGGCGGCAUAGUAACAAAUUAGAUCCAGGUGAUGUGGCCUAGUCCCUUGUCUUGAAUACUUAAGCAUUGCUGUAAAUCGCGGUCCCAGACUGGCCUGUUGAUCCCAGUAUGAGCGCAAGAGACACAUGAAGCGGAGCCAAGUUGAUCCAGCCAAGACCAGCCUGGAUUAGUUUACUCCCAGAUUACAUUCAGACACGUGAGUGAACCCAGUAUGGAUAAACUGAACCUCACAGACACGUAACAGAUGUCUACUGUUGUAUAAUCAUUAUUUUCCUAAACAUCUGAUGCAAUCACCAACCAGAUUAAAAACGUUUUGAGGACAGGGCCUUGUUUUAUUUAUUUUACCUAGAACUCAGUAGGCAAUGUGUAUUGCCUCAGUAUUUAAUGGUAUUGGAUGGCUUCAUGAAUAAAGAUCAAUUGAAAAUAAUUUUUUUCCAUUUUUUUUUUCUAUUCUGGCUAAUCAUGCUAAUAGCUACAACUGAAUGCCUCAGAAUCUAAUGGCAGAGCCCCAUUCAGUGAACUAAUCUCUAACUAAGCAUCACAUUUUUUCCCCCAAGAUCUUCAGGGGGUGAUUUCCAUGAGCCUCUCCCAAUCCCCUGACAUGGUUAGUGUUUAAUAAUUCUUAAUAAGAACAUGUACUGAUAAGGAUAUGUAGUUAUCAGUGAUCUGCAGACCAUACAUGAGCACUGAAUGGACGAGGUCUUUACACCCGGGUUCAACACAGGCAGUAGCAUUUUUUCUCAAUUCAGUUCUAGAGCAAAUUGAAGUGUGAGCCAUUUUUAAUCUCAUAGCCUCCUGUUUCUUUCCCAAAAUAAAUAUCCUCUUCCCUAUUAAACCCUGUUCCCAGCAAUGGAUCUAAUUGGCAGCUAAAUGAGAAAUUGCGGGUAAUAUUGCCUCUCAUGAAGAGAUUUGCAUAUUAACAUUCAUUCAUUGUUUUCACUCAUUCAAUAAUGCCGAGUGGCCACUUACUGCCCAGCACCACAAGGAGUAUUUGGGAUGUAAUGGUGACCAAGGCGAAUAUGGUUUCUUCCUUCAUGGAGUGCAUGAUUUGGAGGUAGGGGCAAGUGGGAAAAGACAGACACAGACACUGAACAAAAUCAGUACAUGUUUAAAGAGGAGAGGGAAAGGAGGCAGUGGAGUGUAUGGCAGGGGCUGUGAACCUAGUCUACAGAGGCAGGGAAUUGCCCUGGGGAAAUGAUGUUUACACUUGAAGAAGUUGGAGUUAGUCCAAAAAGUACAGGAAAAUCAUUUCUGGAGGGGGAAUGGUUUAUAUAAAGCUCCUAAAGAGAGAUAGAUUCUAGUUUGUUCAGGAACCGAAGGUAGUCGAGAAUGGCUGGAGUCAAAAGACAGAGGGCAUCAUCCUUGAUGAUGAUACUUUGAAUAGCGUUCAAAGUUUUGUUUGUCAGAAUAGCUCUAAGAGAGGUGUUUGGAUUACCUGGGAUGCUUGUUAAAGAAGCAGAUUCCUGAGCUUCCCCCAUUAUUACAUGGUCAGAAUCUCUAAUCAGAGCCUAUGAUCUGCGUUUUAACAAGUUCAUUUGGCAAUUCUUAUGUCCCCUAAAUUUUGAGAAUCACUGGACUAAGUGAAUAAAGCUUCCAAGGUAGAAGACUGACAGGUAUCAAUAGCAGGUGAGGAAAAUAUUCGGGUGCAAUGUGGAGUAUUCCUGGAGCUCUUAAAGUAAUACCACGCAGGCCAGGGUCUACUACUUUUUGGCCAGCAGAGUUGCUGGUGCUCCUUGUAUGAAUAGGGGCAUUGGGCCAUGCUGAGCAAUAGGACUGAAAUGUUGUGUUUUGAAAACUUAUACUCAAUGAGGAAAUAUCAAAUAAUUUUUAAAUAAAUUUGGUUCUAAUUUAUCCCCAACAAUAACUCUUGAGAAGCGCCUGGGAUAUAACAAAUACCGUGGGUGUUCUCCUAUUGGAACCCUCCCUCGAUCAACUUGCUGGACUUGCUCAUUCUGUCCAGUCCUUCUGCCCCACGGCACCCAGAUGUCUGUGAAAAUAUGCUUUUCUCAAGGAUAAGCACACCUCCGCUGCCACUUUAUGAGUUUUAUUCUUAACACGAGUCAGUUGUGUUUAUUCUCAAACUUUUCUAUGCCACAUGUUUCUCAUUUUGAAAUUAUAAAAUUUAAUUAUGAAAUAAACAAAAGACAUGUAAUUGUAAAAAGAGUUUUUAUUUCAGUGAACACUAAAUUUGAUGCUUUGGAAAGUUCUGAAAACUUCUUUAACACUGCUUUCAGAUUAAGUGCAGGUAAGAAACAGAAAAGAUUGGGAAAACAUCAGAAAAAUCUAGAUAGAUUCUGCUUUGAAUUGCUUCAUCUUUGUCUUUAAGUUCUCAUUUCAGAUAUAAAAACAAAACAAACAAAAUGGAAUUACUGGCACAUGUUGAGGAUGCAUGUGGAUUUGUUUGUGCAAAAGAUCGACUCAGAUCUCCAGCCAGUGGCCCCACACCAAAGAAAUGAUCUUGGCCCUACAUUUGAAGUUUGGCAAAUGAAUGACGCAAAGCCAGAAGCACCUCUAUUUCUGUCUGGAGACCCCCGGGACUAUGGGUGCUUUUGAGGAGCAGCACGCUGGAUCAUAGCGGUCUCUACUUGGAAACACUCAAGCGUUAAUGAUGUAGAUCAACUGUGCUGUUUUCCCCUCAGCCCAGUGACUCUUCUCUGGCUCUCCUGAACAUCAACUGUGAAUGGAAAUGGAACUGGAUCCUGUCUACCAUUGUCUUCUUGGGAAAGAUACUUCAUAGGAUCCCCAGGGUCCCAUAUCUAUGUUUACAUCGUGCUUACACAAGGUGGGCCAUCUUCUAAGUGCUCCAUACAAAGGAACUUAUUGAAUCUUUACAGCGCCAGGAGAUAUGGAGCAUUCUUACCCCUACUCACAGGGACAACACCUUUUUUCUGACCCUAAACCGUGUUCUGGCACCAAGAGAAGCACUCUAGAAUCUGAGUUCUUUCUGUGAGCUGCUGCCUAAAUUCAGAGUCCUAGAGAAGACUAUUAAUGAUGGUACACAGAAGACAGAGAGAGAUAAACUGCAUCAGUUUCUUUAUGUGCAGGAGGACCUACAUGAUCUUAGAAGAGAACCGACCUUUUAAAACCUCAUUUCAACCUCAACGUAUGACCUCAGAGAAACUCAUUUGCUCUCUGGAAAGUUUUUAAGAUUUACAACAGAGGAAAAAAAAUCCUUCAGCUUGGGCAAGUUCUGAUGCAACAUAAAAGUAAUGCUGUUAAAAUUUCAAUCAUUGCCAUGGUUUAGCAGUGUGUUCACAUCAACCACAUGUACCCAGAAAGUCUGUCAACUCAGCAAUAACCAAGAAUUCUACUUAUUACUCUCACUACAAAAAUCCAUGAAUUAAAUUAUAACUGUUUGCAUUUGAA
Molecule: non-coding RNA, 4299 nt
Organism: Equus caballus (horse)
Lineage: Eukaryota; Metazoa; Chordata; Mammalia; Perissodactyla; Equidae
Source: RefSeq, a predicted model, not a curated record